RNAcentral lists this long non-coding RNA (3240 nucleotides) under Marmota monax (woodchuck). The stretch from base 141 to 213 matches the Rfam family "tRNA". Lineage: Eukaryota; Metazoa; Chordata; Mammalia; Rodentia; Sciuridae. The record is from RNAcentral.
AAAGGAUUAAAUAAGAGCAUGCAUAUAAAAGACAUAGUUCAGUAGGGUUGACCCUGGGUUUAAGUUAUUCCCCUUUCCAUUAACCCCAAACUCCCCUUUGUCUGAGUCUCAGGAUGAAAUAAAAAUCAAAACCCAGGUCUGGGGAUGUAGCUCAGUUGGUAGAGUACUUGCUUUGAAUGCACAAGGCCCUAGGUUCAAUCCCUAGCACCACCAAAAAAAAAAAAAAAUCCAUUAUGUCAGUAAUUAGUUUAAAGUCACAAAAGUUAAACAUUUGCCUCUCUGUCCCAAGAGCUAACCAAAAGCCAAAGUAAACAAGAUUUAGGAAGAAAUGUUAAAAAAAACAGCAAUGGCAUUGAUCUCUUUUCAGAAUGUUCAUUUGACUGAGAUGAGAAUAACUUAGGUUUGGAUAGUAUUUUUUUAAUAAUUUUCAUUGAUGAAAGAAUAUUGAAUUAGAAUAAAUGUUAAACCUGGGUUUUUAUUUGUCUGCAUUUCAAAAAGUUGACCCUUUAUUAAAUUCAAUUCCAUGAGAGUGUCUAGUGCUUCUUCCUUGUUCCAGGAAUAAUGCUAGGUAGUAAAGAUUCAGAAAUAAGAUAUCCUCCUUGCUCUCCAUCAGCCAAAGGCCUUGAGGUGUUGAGAUAAGGGUAUAAGUAGAGCAAAGGCCAUUCUGAGUGAAGGUUAUUCUAAUUGAGUCCACAGGCUCUGUGGGAGGAAAAGGGCAGAGACUCUGCAAGGCCAGAGAAUCCUUCCCAGAGGAGAAAAAGGUAAUAUCUGUAUUUCAAUUGCCUGGCCAGUGUGGACAGGGAAGAAAAGAAGGAACUACUUGUCUUAUUCAAGUGGCUGGAGGGAAAUGGUGUUUUGGCUGAAACUCACAGUUAGUGUAUUUGUUCAUUUUGAGCUUAUCUUGGUGCAUUCAGGCUGCUAUAACAAAAUGCCAAGCUGGGUGGCUUACAAACAACAGAAAUUUAUUUGUCACAGUCCUGGAGGCUCUAAGUCCAUGAUCAGGGUGCCAGCUCCAUCUAAGUCUGGAAAGGGGCCCCUUCCAGGUUGCAGAUUUCUGCUUCUCAGUGUAACUUCACAUGGAGGAUGGGAUAAGCCCACUCUCUGGGGUCUCUUUUAAAAGGGCACUAAUCCCAAUGAUGGGCUUUCCACACAAGGAGACCAAAUCAUCUCUCAAAGGCCUUAUCUCUUAAUAUUAUCACCUUGGGAAUUAGGAUUAUAUCAUAUCAAUGUGAGGGAGGAGGACCCAAAUUUUCUAUCUACAGCAAAGCUGCUAGUAUUGACAAUGAUAGCUACCAUUUAUUGAAUACUUAGCAUAUGUUAGGCAUUUUACAUACCUCGAUUCAUUUUUGGUUCUUCUAAAAAUUAUUGGAAAUUAUUAUUGCAAAUUUACAGAUACAAAAACUAGGACUCUGAGAGAUUAAGUAACUUUUAGCCACACUAGUGGAGGCAAUACCACCAUCCCCAACUCUUGGCCUGCUGCCGUUGACUCUAUCCAACUUCUGGGAAUCCAUUUUCUACUACACAAAAUCACACAGGGCCCAAAGAGAAUUUCUAAACUGAGCAAACCUGACCUGAAUUCCUUGAUAAAACAGUAACUACUCUAGAGGCCAGAUUCAUCCAGCUUUUAUUCACAACUCAAUAUUAUAUUUUAACAGAAAUAUACAUACUAUCCCAACCCAACUGACUUCCUGUAUUGUCUCAAAAACACUCCUACCAAUUAUUAUUAAAGCUACAAGGUACAAUACAAGAAAAUGUUGUUGGAUUUUGUGCCAUCCUUAGCCUAAUAUGUGAAACUCCUAGCACAAAGCCCAACGCAGAGUGGGUAAUGUUGGUUCCAAAUGUUGGUUCCUUUCUUCUUUUCUCUUCUGGUGCAAGCUAUAGAAGUGAAAUAGUGAUGGAAAGUAGGCUGUCCAAAGACAAGGGGAUAGAAAAUUAUAGGCUUCCACACACAAGCAUGGCCUAGGUACAGUUCCCCCUUUAAAACACUUUUUAAAAAUGUGUACUUGUUAGAUAUACACGACAAUAGAGUGUAUUUUUGACAUAUCAUACAUACAUGGAGUAUUGGAAAUUAUGUAAUGACCAAUGUCCACCUAAGAAAAGGACAGAGGGAAAUUUUAUACAACGCACACAUAUGAAAUGGCAAUGUGAAAAUAACAAAAAUGGAGCAGAGAGAGAUAGGAAGACACUGGCCUUUACAAUUAGAGUGACACAGCCACAAGCCAAGAGCUGACAGUAGCUUGGAAAGGUAUAGGACAGAUCUCCCCCAGAGCCUCUGGGGGGUUGGGGGGGCGCACUUCCCUGCCGACCCCUGGAUUUCAACCCAGAGAUUUUGAUUUGUGGCCUCCAGAACUAGGAAAAAAUACAAGGUUGUUUUAAGUCACCAAGUUUGUGGUGAUUUGCUACAGCAACCAUAGAAAACUAAUACAGAUACCUUAUAAGGCAUUAACUGGCCUUUCCACUUAGCAAGAUUCAUCAGCUAACUGUGGUCCAGAGUGAGUGAGAUGUGCCAUCCUAAUGAGUAUUAAUCAAACCAUGCAGUUUCAAAGGUAUAAAAAAUGAUAUGCCGAUAAACUGGUUAUCUGUGGAGCGGGGACCUAUGAUUUUUAGCAGAUGCCAGUUUCUGUGAUAUAAAUGUCCCUAGGAUGGCCGGAUUUCAAUUACCAUUUUACCCAUUUCCUUACCAUUUAACAAAGGCUCUCACAAUCCGACAGGACCCAGCUCCAGCCCAUUCCUGCAGAGGUGCUUUAAAUCAUGAGUAAUAUUGCUCUAAAACUUUAUUAAACAUAAUUUAAUUUCUCCUUGAUAAUUCUGAAGGGUACUUCAUGGUAUUGUAGUUCCUGAGAGUAGACACAGGGAACAUUAAUUACUGCUGCACUGCGCACGUGCAGGCUUGCUAAUCGACAACAUGGUGGGGACAGUUUGGGGCACUGAAGAGGGGGAAGAAAGAGGCAGAAACAGAAUGUCCUAUCAGCUGUCAGCUGCAGGCUUUUCUUCCUUAGGGAGCUCUGGAGGAAUUCAGCAGAAGCCAUCCCUUCUUUAUGUAAAUUUAUUAUAAAUGGUAAUAGCAGUGACAGAAAUUUUAAUCAUUUUCUUCCAUUGGAGUAGGGCUUUAUAAUUUUCAAAGUGAAUUGGACUUUCACCUUAAGAAAAAGAGAAUGGCAGCUUUAUCUCAACCAGAAACAAAUGGAGUGUGUAAAAUUUAGUCUUGCUCUUCAGGUCUUGUGCUAUUGACUUCUGGAU